CGGCAGGCUAGUCAAAAGCACCCCAGGCCCGCGGGAGCCUCCGGUCCCGGGGUGCGGGCCCGCUCGCCUCCUUCCCGCCCUGUCCAGAGCCGGGAACACGGAGUCCUCAGGCCACGGCGGCGUAUCUUGAGCCCUUGGGGGCAGGAAGAACUGCGUCUCCCUGUACAAGAUUUGGGAUUCUCCAUCAGUAGUCUACAGAGUGGAAAGAUAGAGGCCAUCAGAAGGCUUUGAAAACGCCUGGUUCUGGUGAAACACCAUCAGGACACCUAUUUCAAAAUUUGCCACCGUGGCGUUUGGAAAGCAACAGCGCAGGAGUCACCCUCUGAGCUUCUCCCACCCCUCUCCCCUGCAGUGGAAUUCUCUGAAGGAGACCGUCAUUCUAGAGGUGCUUGUCCUCACCCUACACCCAGGUACAGCAACAUCCUCACCUCUGGAGGCUUAGGGGCACAGAGAACCUGAGAAACAGGCCUUGCUCAGCCCCCCAGUUUAUUCCUAUCAGAUCACAUCCCUUGUCCAGUCACCCUCCGGUCCACCCAUUUUCUCUCUCCUCUCUCUCUCUCAUCCCCCUCCUGCUUUUUGCAAUACUAAGAGUUGAACCUUCACACUGAGCUACAU
Molecule: non-coding RNA, 615 nt
Organism: Heterocephalus glaber (naked mole-rat)
Lineage: Eukaryota; Metazoa; Chordata; Mammalia; Rodentia; Bathyergidae
Source: RefSeq, a predicted model, not a curated record